UUAAUAAAAAUAAAUAUAGAGUAUGUUACUCAGGAACAAUUUAGCUUUCUACUGGUGAAAGAAUUUUCAAAAUCGGUUCAGUUGUUUCAGAGAUUACUUCCUACAAAUAAACUUACA
Molecule: long non-coding RNA, 117 nt
Organism: Maniola jurtina (meadow brown)
Lineage: Eukaryota; Metazoa; Arthropoda; Insecta; Lepidoptera; Nymphalidae
Exons: 3
Source: RefSeq, a predicted model, not a curated record